This 71-nucleotide microRNA precursor is filed under the name Dipodomys ordii (Ord's kangaroo rat). RNAcentral describes it as "miRNA (ENSDORG00000025299.1)". Lineage: Eukaryota; Metazoa; Chordata; Mammalia; Rodentia; Heteromyidae. The record is from RNAcentral.
GGUCUCACUUUGUAGCCCAGGAUGGCCUGGAACUUGAAAUACUCCUGCCUCAGCCUCCUGAGUCCUGGGAU